AGAGUUUGAUCAUGGCUCAGGAUGAACGCUAGCGGCAGGCUUAAUACAUGCAAGUCGAGGGGCAACAGGGGUAGCAAUACCUGCUGGCGACCGGCAAACGGGUGCGCAACACGUACAGAACCUUCCUUUAAGCGGGGGAUAGCCCAGAGAAAUUUGGAUUAAUACCCCAUGGUAUUAUUGUCUGGCAUCAGGUAAUAAUUAAAGAUUUAUCACUUAGAGAUGGCUGUGCGUCUGAUUAGGUAGUUGGUGAGGGUAAUGGCCUACCAAGCCUUCGAUCAGUAACUGGUGUGAGAGCACGACCAGUCACACGGGCACUGAGACACGGGCCCGACUCCUACGGGAGGCAGCAGUAAGGAAUAUUGGUCAAUGGACGCAAGUCUGAACCAGCCAUGCCGCGUGAAGGAUGAAGGUCCUCUGGAUUGUAAACUUCUUUUAUGUGGGAAGAAAUGUCCGGAUUAUUCUGGAUUUGACGGUACCAUAGGAAUAAGCACCGGCUAACUCCGUGCCAGCAGCCGCGGUAAUACGGAGGGUGCGAGCGUUAUCCGGAUUCACUGGGUUUAAAGGGUGCGUAGGUGGGAAUGUAAGUCAGUGGUGAAAUCUCCGUGCUUAACAUGGAAACUGCCAUUGAUACUAUGUUUCUUGAAUUUUCCGGAGGUUAGCGGAAUAUGUCUGUAGCGGUGAAAUGCUUAGAUAUGACAUAGAACACCAAUUGCGAAGGCAGCUAACUACAGGGAUAUUGACACUGAGGCACGAAAGCGUGGGGAUCAAACAGGAUUAGAUACCCUAGUAGUCC
Molecule: ribosomal RNA, 793 nt
Filed under: uncultured bacterium
Lineage: Bacteria
Description: bacterial SSU rRNA
Rfam family: Bacterial small subunit ribosomal RNA
Source: RNAcentral